UGGGGAAUAUUGCACAAUGGGCGCAAGCCUGAUGCAGCCAUGCCGCGUGUGUGAAGAAGGCCUUCGGGUUGUAAAGCACUUUCAGCGAGGAGGAAGGUGGUGAGCUUAAUACGCUCAUCAAUUGACGUUACUCGCAGAAGAAGCACCGGCUAACUCCGUGCCAGCAGCCGCGGUAAUACGGAGGGUGCAAGCGUUAAUCGGAAUUACUGGGCGUAAAGCGCACGCAGGCGGUUUGUUAAGUCAGAUGUGAAAUCCCCGGGCUCAACCUGGGAACUGCAUUUGAAACUGGCAAGCUAGAGUCUCGUAGAGGGGGGUAGAAUUCCAGGUGUAGCGGUGAAAUGCGUAGAGAUCUGGAGGAAUACCGGUGGCGAAGGCGGCCCCCUGGACGAAGACUGACGCUCAGGUGCGAAAGCGUGGGGCAGCAAACAGGAUUAGAUACCCUGGUAGUCCACGCUGUAAACGAUGUCGAUUUGGAGGUUGUGCCCUUGAGGCGUGGCUUCCGGAGCUAACGCGUUAAAUCGACCGCCUGGGGAGUACGGCCGCAAGGUUAAAACUCAAAUGAAUUG
This 566-nucleotide ribosomal RNA is filed under the name uncultured bacterium. Its description in RNAcentral is "partial 16S ribosomal RNA". It matches the Rfam family "Bacterial small subunit ribosomal RNA", at positions 355 to 912 of the family's 1533-position model. The record is from RNAcentral.